CCCGCCGCUGAAGAGAUGAUCGCGCCGACCGUCUACGGCCAGGCGAUCAUCAUCCUGGUCUAUGUCCCGCUGCUCACCUUCAGCGGCGUUGAAGGUAAAAUGUUCGAGCCGAUGGCCUUGACGGUCAUCCUCGCGCUCGUUUCGGCUUUCGUGCUGUCACUCACGUUCGUUCCGGCGCUGAUCGCAAUCGCAGUCACCGGCAGGGUGAAGGAAUCCGACAACCUCGCCGUGCGCCGCCUCAAGUCCUG
Molecule: unclassified non-coding RNA, 248 nt
Filed under: Hevea brasiliensis (rubber tree)
Lineage: Eukaryota; Viridiplantae; Streptophyta; Magnoliopsida; Malpighiales; Euphorbiaceae
Source: RNAcentral